RNAcentral lists this ribosomal RNA (1868 nucleotides) under Escherichia coli. RNAcentral's name for it is "bacterial LSU rRNA". It matches the Rfam family "Bacterial large subunit ribosomal RNA", at positions 1 to 1886 of the family's 2925-position model. Lineage: Bacteria; Pseudomonadati; Pseudomonadota; Gammaproteobacteria; Enterobacterales; Enterobacteriaceae. The record is from RNAcentral.
GGGUUGUGAGGUUAAGCGACUAAGCGUACACGGUGGAUGCCCUGGCAGUCAGAGGCGAUGAAGGACGUGCUAAUCUGCGAUAAGCGUCGGUAAGGUGAUAUGAACCGUUAUAACCGGCGAUUUCCGAAUGGGGAAACCCAGUGUGUUUCGACACACUAUCAUUAACUGAAUCCAUAGGUUAAUGAGGCGAACCGGGGGAACUGAAACAUCUAAGUACCCCGAGGAAAAGAAAUCAACCGAGAUUCCCCCAGUAGCGGCGAGCGAACGGGGAGCAGCCCAGAGCCUGAAUCAGUGUGUGUGUUAGUGGAAGCGUCUGGAAAGGCGCGCGAUACAGGGUGACAGCCCCGUACACAAAAAUGCACAUACUGUGAGCUCGAUGAGUAGGGCGGGACACGUGGUAUCCUGUCUGAAUAUGGGGGGACCAUCCUCCAAGGCUAAAUACUCCUGACUGACCGAUAGUGAACCAGUACCGUGAGGGAAAGGCGAAAAGAACCCCGGCGAGGGGAGUGAAAAAGAACCUGAAACCGUGUACGUACAAGCAGUGGGAGCACGCUUCGGCGUGUGACUGCGUACCUUUUGUAUAAUGGGUCAGCGACUUAUAUUCUGUAGCAAGGUUAACCGAAUAGGGGAGCCGAAGGGAAACCGAGUCUUAACUGGGCGUUAAGUUGCAGGGUAUAGACCCGAAACCCGGUGAUCUAGCCAUGGGCAGGUUGAAGGUUGGGUAACACUAACUGGAGGACCGAACCGACUAAUGUUGAAAAAUUAGCGGAUGACUUGUGGCUGGGGGUGAAAGGCCAAUCAAACCGGGAGAUAGCUGGUUCUCCCCGAAAGCUAUUUAGGUAGCGCCUCGUGAAUUCAUCUCCGGGGGUAGAGCACUGUUUCGGCAAGGGGGUCAUCCCGACUUACCAACCCGAUGCAAACUGCGAAUACCGGAGAAUGUUAUCACGGGAGACACACGGCGGGUGCUAACGUCCGUCGUGAAGAGGGAAACAACCCAGACCGCCAGCUAAGGUCCCAAAGUCAUGGUUAAGUGGGAAACGAUGUGGGAAGGCCCAGACAGCCAGGAUGUUGGCUUAGAAGCAGCCAUCAUUUAAAGAAAGCGUAAUAGCUCACUGGUCGAGUCGGCCUGCGCGGAAGAUGUAACGGGGCUAAACCAUGCACCGAAGCUGCGGCAGCGACACUAUGUGUUGUUGGGUAGGGGAGCGUUCUGUAAGCCUGUGAAGGUGUGCUGUGAGGCAUGCUGGAGGUAUCAGAAGUGCGAAUGCUGACAUAAGUAACGAUAAAGCGGGUGAAAAGCCCGCUCGCCGGAAGACCAAGGGUUCCUGUCCAACGUUAAUCGGGGCAGGGUGAGUCGACCCCUAAGGCGAGGCCGAAAGGCGUAGUCGAUGGGAAACAGGUUAAUAUUCCUGUACUUGGUGUUACUGCGAAGGGGGGACGGAGAAGGCUAUGUUGGCCGGGCGACGGUUGUCCCGGUUUAAGCGUGUAGGCUGGUUUUCCAGGCAAAUCCGGAAAAUCAAGGCUGAGGCGUGAUGACGAGGCACUACGGUGCUGAAGCAACAAAUGCCCUGCUUCCAGGAAAAGCCUCUAAGCAUCAGGUAACAUUAAAUCGUACCCCAAACCGACACAGGUGGUCAGGUAGAGAAUACCAAGGCGCUUGAGAGAACUCGGGUGAAGGAACUAGGCAAAAUGGUGCCGUAACUUCGGGAGAAGGCACGCUGAUAUGUAGGUGAAGUCCCUCGCGGAUGGAGCUGAAAUCAGUCGAAGAUACCAGCUGGCUGCAACUGUUUAUUAAAAACACAGCACUGUGCAAACACGAAAGUGGACGUAUACGGUGUGACGCCUGCCCGGUGCCGGAAGGUUAAUUGAUG